Molecule: ribosomal RNA, 502 nt
Filed under: uncultured bacterium
Lineage: Bacteria
Description: bacterial SSU rRNA
Rfam family: Bacterial small subunit ribosomal RNA
Source: RNAcentral
AGUUUGAUCCUGGCUCAGAUUGAACGCUGGCGGCAUGCUUUACACAUGCAAGUCGAACGGCAGCGGCGGGCUUCGGCCUGGCGGCGAGUGGCGAACGGGUGAGUAAUAUAUCGGAACGUACCCAAGAGUGGGGAUAACGUAGCGAAAGUUACGCUAAUACCGCAUACGAUCUAAGGAUGAAAGCAGGGGAUCGCAAGACCUUGUGCUCCUGGAGCGGCCGAUAUCUGAUUAGCUAGUUGGUGGGGUAAAGGCCCACCAAGGCAACGAUCAGUAGCUGGUCUGAGAGGACGACCAGCCACACUGGAACUGAGACACGGUCCAGACUCCUACGGGAGGCAGCAGUGGGGAAUUUUGGACAAUGGGGGCAACCCUGAUCCAGCAAUGCCGCGUGAGUGAAGAAGGCCUUCGGGUUGUAAAGCUCUUUUGUCAGGGAAGAAACGGUGAGUUCUAAUAAAGCUUGCUAAUGACGGUACCUGAAGAAUAAGCACCGGCUAACUACGUG